ACUAGACCAAUGAAUACCUCUAAUACAUAUCAAUGUCAAUGAAAGAACGGGUAAAAGUAUCAAGAAGUCUCUUGUAUUAUGAAUCAGAUUGCAUUUUACCUUCUAUACUAAAAAAAAGAAGAAAUAAAUUGUAUUUUACCUUCUAUACUAAAAAAAAGAAGAAAUAAAUUGGUUAUUCCUAUUAAAAAUUCAUUCAUUUCACUGUUAAAAAUUGUCUUGAUCGACAAAAUAACCAAACAAUUACACGUGAUGUAUCAUGUGCACUUUAUGCGGAC
RNAcentral lists this long non-coding RNA (275 nucleotides) under Gossypium raimondii (Peruvian cotton). RNAcentral describes it as "long non-coding RNA (GRAI_LNC007906)". The record is from RNAcentral. Lineage: Eukaryota; Viridiplantae; Streptophyta; Magnoliopsida; Malvales; Malvaceae.